This is a long non-coding RNA of Symphalangus syndactylus (siamang), 863 nucleotides long. RefSeq lists it as uncharacterized. NCBI's taxonomy places the organism in Eukaryota, Metazoa, Chordata, Mammalia, Primates, Hylobatidae. The record is from RefSeq and is a predicted model, not a curated record.
UACUAUAUAUUUUGAUUCUUCUCUGAAAGUGUUUGCAGUGAGCAAUAGUCUAAAUUGCCUCAUCUUCAAGGGCAUUAAUGAAAAAGACUGACAAGUACUCUGUAACACAGAUUUCUGGUAACUUUCAGAUUACACUAUUGGACUGCCUAAGAAUUUCCAGAACUCGAAUGAAGAAACUAAUGGGUUUGUGAAACUGUUCAUCAAAAUCAAGCAGAACAAGAACUAAUUACAUGCGGCACAGACAGGAUGGUGCUAACCUAUUCGAGAAGGACCACCACAACGAUCCAGUUACCUCCCAAUAUGCUCCACCUCCAAUGUCAGGGAUUACAUCUCCACGUGAGAUUUGACACAUCAAGGAGGUGGCCUUCUACAAGCUAGGAAGACAGCCCUCAACAGAAACGACCAUGCUGGCACCUUAACCUUGGAACUCUAGCCUUCAAAACUGUUAGAAACUAAAUUUCUGUUGUUUGAACCACCCAGUCUAUGGUAUUUUGUUGUGGCACCCUGAGCUAAGACAAGGUCUGUCAAAAGUGGAGUCAAAAUAAAGGCAUUUCCAGAUAAACAAAAGCUGAGAGAUUUCUGCCCAACAGAACAGCACUGUAAGACAUGUUAAAUAAGGCUCUUUAGGCUAAAGGAAAAGGAUACCAGAUGGAAACUUUAUCUAUAUGAAGUAUAAUAAUUAAGAGCAACGAAAAUGAUAAAUUUGUAAGUAAAAAAGAUUUUUCUUCUCACUUCUAAAUUUAUUUAAAAGACAACUGUUUAAUGCAAAAAUAAUAACUUACUAUGAGGUUUAUAACAAAUAUGGAAGUAAAAUGUGUGUCAACAUUAACACAAAGGACUGGAAUGACAAGUGGAACUAUUGU